UGAAUGUCAAUCAAACAGUCAAAGUCAAUUCGACAUUUUGUUAUGUUUUGACACAUUUGAAAUUUGAGCUAUUUGUUUUAAUUUAAAAAGAAAAAAGAAAAUAGUUUUAUCAUGUUAAUAAACACUCUUUUUUAAGGGGGAUUUAAAAAUUUUGGACAUAAAAGACAACCACAAUCUCGGUUCACAACGCUUUGGCAUGGUUUUCUUACAUUCUCAUUUAUUGGUAUGGGAAUAGAAUGGAAAAGGAUAGCAAGAUUCCUUUAUGGUGAAAAUUCUGAGAAUGAAACUCCUCCAAUAGAAUAAAAAAAUAUUUUUGUACAGAAUAAUUAGUGUAAAAUGAUUAUGUCGUCCUAAAAUUGAUAAAAUAUAUUAAGUUAACACUGUUUUGUAUUAUAUAAUUAAUAUUACUAUAGUAGUUACAAGUUUGAUCAAACCGGCUUAUGAUUUUAUGAAUUGUUAUUGUUAACUAUUCAUGUUAGAAAAAUAGAUAGGCAUACUUACAUUUGAAAACAAGGGAUUCCUUAUAAAAUAUCUAAUUAUAUAUAGCUAAAAAUAAUAA
Molecule: long non-coding RNA, 559 nt
Organism: Melitaea cinxia (Glanville fritillary)
Lineage: Eukaryota; Metazoa; Arthropoda; Insecta; Lepidoptera; Nymphalidae
Exons: 3
Source: RefSeq, a predicted model, not a curated record